RNAcentral lists this ribosomal RNA (452 nucleotides) under Salmonella enterica subsp. enterica serovar Enteritidis. RNAcentral describes it as "bacterial LSU rRNA". It matches the Rfam family "Bacterial large subunit ribosomal RNA", at positions 360 to 815 of the family's 2925-position model. Lineage: Bacteria; Pseudomonadati; Pseudomonadota; Gammaproteobacteria; Enterobacterales; Enterobacteriaceae. The record is from RNAcentral.
CAGGGUGACAGCCCCGUACACAAAAGCGCAUGUGCUGUGAGCUCGAUGAGUAGGGCGGGACACGUGGUAUCCUGUCUGAAUAUGGGGGGACCAUCCUCCAAGGCUAAAUACUCCUGACUGACCGAUAGUGAACCAGUACCGUGAGGGAAAGGCGAAAAGAACCCCGGCGAGGGGAGUGAAAAAGAACCUGAAACCGUGUACGUACAAGCAGUGGGAGCACAGGUUUACCUGUGUGACUGCGUACCUUUUGUAUAAUGGGUCAGCGACUUAUAUUCUGUAGCAAGGUUAACCGAAUAGGGGAGCCGGAGGGAAACCGAGUCUUAAUUGGGCGUUAAGUUGCAGGGUAUAGACCCGAAACCCGGUGAUCUAGCCAUGGGCAGGUUGAAGGUUGGGUAACACUAACUGGAGGACCGAACCGACUAAUGUUGAAAAAUUAGCGGAUGACCUGUGGC